This 495-nucleotide ribosomal RNA is filed under the name Lodderomyces parapsilosis. RNAcentral's name for it is "eukaryotic LSU rRNA". The stretch from base 155 to 308 matches the Rfam family "5.8S ribosomal RNA". Lineage: Eukaryota; Fungi; Ascomycota; Pichiomycetes; Serinales; Debaryomycetaceae. The record is from RNAcentral.
GGGGCUUCGAUGAAAGUGCUUAACUGCAUUUUUUCUUACACAUGUGUUUUUCUUUUUUUGAAAACUUUGCUUUGGUAGGCCUUCUAUAUGGGGCCUGCCAGAGAUUAAACUCAACCAAAUUUUAUUUAAUGUCAACCGAUUAUUUAAUAGUCAAAACUUUCAACAACGGAUCUCUUGGUUCUCGCAUCGAUGAAGAACGCAGCGAAAUGCGAUAAGUAAUAUGAAUUGCAGAUAUUCGUGAAUCAUCGAAUCUUUGAACGCACAUUGCGCCCUUUGGUAUUCCAAAGGGCAUGCCUGUUUGAGCGUCAUUUCUCCCUCAAACCCUCGGGUUUGGUGUUGAGCGAUACGCUGGGUUUGCUUGAAAGAAAGGCGGAGUAUAAACUAAUGGAUAGGUUUUUUCCACUCAUUGGUACAAACUCCAAAACUUCUUCCAAAUUCGACCUCAAAUCAGGUAGGACUACCCGCUGAACUUAAGCAUAUCAAUAAGCGGAGGAA